This 420-nucleotide ribosomal RNA is filed under the name uncultured bacterium. RNAcentral describes it as "partial 16S ribosomal RNA". It matches the Rfam family "Bacterial small subunit ribosomal RNA", at positions 359 to 772 of the family's 1533-position model. The record is from RNAcentral.
AAGUUUGUACAAUGGGGGCAACCCUGAUCCAGCCAUGCCGCGUGGGUGAAGAAGGGCUUCGGAUUGUAUAGCACUUUAAGUUGGGAGGAAGGGCUUUAGGUUAAUACACUGUAGUUUUGACGUGACCAACAGAAUAAGCACCGGCUAACUCUGUGCCAGCAGCCGAGCUAAUACAGAGGGUGCAAGCGGUAAUCGGAAUUACUGGGCGUAAAGCGCGCGUAGGUGGUUCAGUAAGAUGGGUGUGAAAUCCCCGUGCUUAACCUGGGAACUGCUUUCAUAACUGCUGAGCUAGACUACGGUAGAGGGUAGUGGAAUUUCCUGUGUAGCGGUGAAAUGCGUAGAUAUAGGAAGGAACACCAGUGGCGAAGGCGACUACCUGGACUGAUACUGACACUGAGGUGCGAAAGCGUGGGGAGCAAA